RNAcentral lists this long non-coding RNA (481 nucleotides) under Cavia porcellus (domestic guinea pig). RNAcentral's name for it is "lncRNA (ENSCPOG00000035816.1)". Lineage: Eukaryota; Metazoa; Chordata; Mammalia; Rodentia; Caviidae. The record is from RNAcentral.
AAAAAUUCUUGCCGCCAUAUUGUGGAGGACAGUAUUUCACAGAAGUAGUUUUGAAAUGUGAUAAAUAAUCUGUAAAUAUUCAGGUUCACUAAAGAACUACAAAAGAUGUGGCAGAGCUUUGAUACUUUCUCCCCUCCCCAGGUCUUGAAACACUUGCUUCCAACCCGGGAAUGCCCGUGAAAUGUCUGACUUCUAAUCUACUCCAGUCUAGGAAACGGCUGGCUACUUCUAGCACCAGCAGUCAGUCCCACACCUUCGUGUCCAGUGUGGAGUCAGAAUGCCACAGCAGCCCCAGAUGGGAAAAGCACUGCCAGGAAAGGGAUGAAGCUUUGGGCUGUACAAUGAUGAGCUGGAAUGCAGUGGAAAAGCUAUGUCCAAAAUCUGCAAAUGAUGUCAGUAUAAAAAGUUUCCAUAGAAAGGAUCUUGAGUUGUCCUUUUCUCUGAUUCAUAACAGCAGUGCCAUUCUUGCCACUGGAGGAUU